Molecule: ribosomal RNA, 253 nt
Filed under: uncultured bacterium
Lineage: Bacteria
Description: partial 16S ribosomal RNA
Rfam family: Bacterial small subunit ribosomal RNA
Source: RNAcentral
GACGAACCGUCCUAACGUUGUUCGGAAUCACUGGGCUUAAAGGGCGCGUAGGCGGGCUCUCAAGUCCGGGGUGAAAUCUUUCGGCUCAACCGGAAAAUAGCCUUGGAUACUGGGAGUCUCGAGCGAGGUAGGGGCGGGUGGAACUUCCGGUGGAGCGGUGAAAUGCGUUGAUAUCGGAUGGAACGCCGGUGGCGAAAGCGACCCGCUGGACCUCUUCUGACGCUGAGGCGCGAAAGCCAGGGGAGCAAACGGG